UCCCUGGUGGUCUAGUGGUUAGGAUUUGGCACUUACACUGCUGGGGCCUGGGUUCAAUCCCUGGUCAGGGAA
This is a non-coding RNA of Balaenoptera musculus (blue whale), 72 nucleotides long. Lineage: Eukaryota; Metazoa; Chordata; Mammalia; Artiodactyla; Balaenopteridae. The record is from the annotation of a RefSeq genome assembly.